AACGAACGCUGGCGGCAGGCCUAACACAUGCAAGUCGAACGCACCGCAAGGUGAGUGGCGCACGGGUGAGUAACACGUGGGAAUGUACCCUUUGGUUCGGAAUAACGUUUGGAAACGAACGCUAAUACCGGAUGAGCCCUGCGGGGGAAAGAUUUAUCGCCAAAGGAGCAGCCCGCGUCUGAUUAGCUAGUUGGUGGGGUAAAGGCCUACCAAGGCGACGAUCAGUAGCUGGUCUGAGAGGAUGAUCAGCCUCACUGGGACUGAGACACGGCCCAGACUCCUACGGGAGGCAGCAGUGGGGAAUAUUGGACAAUGGGCGCAAGCCUGAUCCAGCCAUGCCGCGUGAGUGAUGAAGGCCUUCGGGUUGUAAAGACUCUUUCGCACGCGACGAUGAUGACGGUAGCGUGAGAAGAAGCCCCGGCUAACUUCGUGCCAGCAGCCGCGGUAAU
RNAcentral lists this ribosomal RNA (449 nucleotides) under uncultured bacterium. RNAcentral's name for it is "bacterial SSU rRNA". It matches the Rfam family "Bacterial small subunit ribosomal RNA", at positions 29 to 524 of the family's 1533-position model. The record is from RNAcentral.